CCAAGACCAGUAACCAUAGAUGACCAGUCAAAGGGGGAAAAAAAUCUGUUGGAAAAUGGAAACAAAGUUAUCUAGCUACCUACCGAAGUUGUCAAAUGGAUACCCUUCCCGUAACCAUGGUGUUUGAAGAGGAUGUAUUGGGAGGAGGAUUCAUCAAUAAAUACCCUGGAACGAUGUUUGUGGUGCACUCACUCAUUACACUUUUUUAAGUGAUAAAUCGUCUUCAAGCUUAAUAAGUUCAUGCAUUCAACAAGCUUUGGACGAAGGACUUCCACGGGUCCGCCGUCUCCAAAGACAAUAGUUCUGAACCGGGUGAUUGAUUUUGUUGUUUUCAUUAUUUCAGUUUUGUUCGUUCUCUUUUUAACAUCCAUUGGUUGAAAGCUCAUUGUUCAGUUAUCACUUGGCUCGUGUAAAUUCUGUAGUUGCCCCUUUAAACCUAAUCCUAAAAUCAAAUCAAAGUUUAUUGGUUGUGUACACAGAUUUGCAAAUGUAAUGGCAGGUGCAGCGAAAUGCUUGGGUUUCUAGCUCCAACACUGCAAUAAUUUAAAAAAUACACACAUAAUACAUAACACAAAAAUAAUGUGUUAUAUAGGAUGAGCCAUGACUAGAAUGCAGUAUAUACAUUUAAAGUGGGUGAAACAGUAUGUAAACAUUAA
Molecule: long non-coding RNA, 656 nt
Organism: Salvelinus namaycush (lake trout)
Lineage: Eukaryota; Metazoa; Chordata; Actinopteri; Salmoniformes; Salmonidae
Exons: 3
Source: RefSeq, a predicted model, not a curated record